This 851-nucleotide ribosomal RNA is filed under the name Dendrobium prianganense. RNAcentral's name for it is "eukaryotic LSU rRNA". The stretch from base 340 to 495 matches the Rfam family "5.8S ribosomal RNA". The record is from RNAcentral. Lineage: Eukaryota; Viridiplantae; Streptophyta; Magnoliopsida; Asparagales; Orchidaceae.
GGUUCGCCGCCCGUGACUCUGCGAGAAGUCCAUUGAACCUUAUCAUUUAGAGGAAGGAGAAGUCGUAACAAGGUUUCCGUAGGUGAACCUGCGGAAGGAUCAUUGUCGAGAUCGAAAUAUAUCGAGCGAUUUGGAGAACCGGUCAGAAUAAGCGGUGGCCAUUGCUUCCGUGAUGAAAGUCGUCCAAACUGUUACCUCAUCCCCUCGGGGGUUGGGAUGCGAUAAGGAUUGAUGAACACUCAAACCGGCGCAGCAUCGCGCCAAGGUAAAAAUUGAAACACAAUCCCUCUAACGGGUUUGGUGGCAUGGGGUGCUGUAGCACUUCAUAAGGAUGUACACGACUCUCGGCAAUGGAUAUCUCGGCUCUCGCAUCGAUGAAGAGCGCAGCGAAAUGCGAUACGUGGUGCGAAUUGCAGAAUCCCGCGAACCAUCGAGUCUUUGAACGCAAGUUGCGCCCGAGGCCAACCGGCUAAGGGCACGUCUGCCUGGGCGUCAAUCAUUAUGUCGCUCUGUGUCAUCUCCACCCCUCGAAGGAUGGGUUGCUGAUGGCUCGGAUGUGUAGAGUGGCUCGUCGUGCCCCUCGGUGCGGCGGGCUAAAGAGGGGGUCUUCCUCUCAUUGGCAACGAACAAUAAGGGGUGGAUUAAAGUGAGGCCUAAGCUAUUGUGUCGUGUGUGCCUGAGGGAUGAUUAUGCAGAUUCCAAAUUAUGCGUUGAUAUGUGGAUGUCGUUUAGAAUACGACCCCAGGAUGGGCGAGGCCACCCGCCGAGUUUAAGCAUAUCAAUAAGCGGAGGAGAAGAGACUUACGAGGGUUUAAGCAUAUCAAUAAGCGGAGGAGAAGAGACUUACGAGG